UGCAGAGUGGUUUGUCCGGCUCGGGGCCUGCUGGGAGCGGGGGGUGGAGUCUCUCUCUCUCUCAGGCGGGAUGGGUCUGGAGGUGCCGGAUGGUUGCUACUCGGCCGCCGGGCCGGUCGGUUUGGGAACAGCAGCGGCCUCCUGAUGUAGGCAGACAAGGCCCAUUGAUGCACUUUGCCUAGGUGACAAAUACCACUUUACGAGAAAUUGAUAUGACCGUUCCUGAAUGUGGAGAAAAUGAGUCUGAAUGAAUAGAAGACUACAGUUUCUGUACAUACGGCCUUGUAUACUAUGUAAACAUUUCUACAGAACCAGCUCAAGUUCGGCAGCAUUUCUUUCACCAGAAGAAUGUUCUGGAAGAAAUAUACAGGCUUAGCCUCAAUCCUGCACCGGGAUCUGCUACUCUAGAGCCCCUCAGGGUCAUGUUGGAGUCAAUGGAAUUCCUCAAGAGCACAAGGACCAAGCACUGGAUCCUUAUGCAGGACUGGGGCUUAAAUAUUAAAAAUAGAACUGGUUGAAUUAUUUAGUGUUCCUUUCAAAAAUGCUAUGAUGUUUCUUUGUACAGUGACUCCAAGAAAACAGUGAAUUGUUACAGUAGUGGCAAUAAUCAGAUAUAAAUGAUCCAUCAACAUUUAGCAGAAUGGGAUGGAUAUUUGCUUACUUCAAAGGCAGGUGAAGUGUAGGCUUAAGGAUGUGACAACUCUGAUUCACUUACUUAUACCAGCAUUGUGGGAGAAUAUUUGCAUUUGAUCACACACCAAAACUACUUUCCUUUUCUCUCCAUUGGCCCAGGCCAGGAUACUUCUGCCUCCCCUCCCUGUUGCAGACACCCAUUACAUGCUUGUUCCUGCUUGCCUGACCCCUUCCCUCACCCCUAUCUGUUGUCCCUUGCCAUUGUUUGGAUUCAUAGUCUAUAUUCAGCAAAUACCAAGACUAAGUUAUUUGCUAUUUGGCCAAUUAUUAAAAACAUGCAUUCGUUAGGCAUAAAUGACCUGGCAGUGCUUGUUUAACUGAUGUGGGACACCCCAAUGCUGCUAAUUCCUUCCAGGACAACAGAUUCAAACCAAACACUCUUAGAUCAGAGUGUAAACAAGUCAACAUACUAAAUUCCUGAGUAUGCAAAAAAUAAAUCUGAAAUUCUCUUUAUUCCUUAAGGACUCAAUCCUGCAAGGUUAAUAUUUACCCUGUGAAGAAUUCAUACUUAUUGUUGAACUGUUCUUAAUUCUUAUUAAGAAAAAAUCAAUCUUCUUAAACAUUGUUUAGCCAGAUGAGAUGUUAAAAAAAAAACAAAACCCACUGUGACGCUGGCAGGCCAGGUGCCAGCUCAUGCCAAGGUCCCCAUGUCUCAACAGACACAUAGCUGGAAUCUGUUUGGCAUUUAGUGUGUGGAGCUGUGAAUGCUUGUAAAUUGCUGCAUGCAUUAAUCUCACUUGUAAUAUCUGUAUUCCAUAUUAUAAUGGAGUGGAUGUACUGUGAGCCUCGGUGAUCAUAUGAAUCGCCAUACAGGAAAGAGACAUUAAUUAGUGUGAAGCAUAGGUGCCAACUUCUCCUGGCGCCAGUGGGUGCUCACACACCACCCCCCGACUC
Long non-coding RNA from Chelonia mydas (Green sea turtle), 1587 nucleotides. RefSeq lists it as uncharacterized. The transcript has 5 exons. The record is from RefSeq and is a predicted model, not a curated record. NCBI's taxonomy places the organism in Eukaryota, Metazoa, Chordata, Testudines, Cheloniidae.